RNAcentral lists this ribosomal RNA (541 nucleotides) under uncultured Meliniomyces. RNAcentral's name for it is "eukaryotic LSU rRNA". The stretch from base 195 to 348 matches the Rfam family "5.8S ribosomal RNA". Lineage: Eukaryota; Fungi; Ascomycota; Leotiomycetes; Helotiales; Helotiaceae. The record is from RNAcentral.
UCCGUAGGUGAACCUGCGGAAGGAUCAUUAAAGAAUCGCCCCGUUUUUUGAAAUGGGUUCUAUUCCCAAACCGUGUAUACAUACCUUUGUUGCUUUGGCAGGCCGCCUUUUAGGCGUCGGCUCCGGCUGACUGCGCCUGCCAGAGGACCCAAACUCGUUUGUUUAGUGAUGUCUGAGUACUAUAUAAUAGUUAAAACUUUCAACAACGGAUCUCUUGGUUCUGGUAUCGAUGAAGAACGCAGCGAAAUGCGAUAAGUAAUGUGAAUUGCAGAAUUCAGUGAAUCAUCGAAUCUUUGAACGCACAUUGCGCCCCUUGGUAUUCCGAGGGGCAUGCCUGUUCGAGCGUCAUUAUAACCACUCAAGCCUCGGCUUGGUCUUGGGGUUCGCGGUCUCGCGUCCCUUAAAAUCAGUGGCGGUGCCGUCUGGCUCUAAGCGUAGUAAUUCUCUCGCUAUAGGGUCCCGGCGGUUGCCUGCCAGAACCCCCCAUUUUUUACGGUUGACCUCGGAUCAGGUAGGGAUACCCGCUGAACUUAAGCAUAUC